AAACUUUCAACAACGGAUCUCUUGGUUCUGGCAUCGAUGAAGAACGCAGCGAAAUGCGAUAAGUAAUGUGAAUUGCAGAAUUCAGUGAAUCAUCGAAUCUUUGAACGCACAUUGCGCCCCCUGGUAUUCCGGGGGGCAUGCCUGUUCGAGC
This 151-nucleotide ribosomal RNA is filed under the name Xanthoria parietina. RNAcentral describes it as "5.8S ribosomal RNA". It matches the Rfam family "5.8S ribosomal RNA". Rfam says of the family: 5.8S ribosomal RNA (5.8S rRNA) is a component of the large subunit of the eukaryotic ribosome. It is transcribed by RNA polymerase I as part of the 45S precursor that also contains 18S and 28S rRNA. Functionally, it is thought that 5.8S rRNA may be involved in ribosome translocation. The record is from RNAcentral. Lineage: Eukaryota; Fungi; Ascomycota; Lecanoromycetes; Teloschistales; Teloschistaceae. RNAcentral also lists the same sequence under 1 other name.